Molecule: RNA transcript, 2057 nt
Organism: Notolabrus celidotus (New Zealand spotty)
Lineage: Eukaryota; Metazoa; Chordata; Actinopteri; Labriformes; Labridae
Gene: fkbp7
Gene name: FKBP prolyl isomerase 7
Exons: 5
Source: RefSeq, a predicted model, not a curated record
ACUUCCUCUGCUGCUCUCAAACGUCACUUUUCAGAAGUUGCCACGAAUGCACGGCGGAAAGAUGUGGAAGCUGGUGAGCUGUACACUGUGCCUUUUUGUCUCCUCACAGAUCAGCUCAUGGUCUGUUUGGGCCUCAGCAGAAGGACAGGACGAAGAAGUCAAGAUAGAGGUUUUGUUCAAGCCCGAGCACUGCGAACCAAAGAGCAAGAGAGGAGACUUUUUGAACGCGCAUUACGACGGGUACCUCGCCAAGGAUGGGUCCCAGUUCUACUGCAGUCGGUCGGACAAAGCUGGGCACGCUCAGUGGUUUGUGCUGGGUGUGGGACAAAUCAUCAGGGGCCUUGACAUGGGGAUGGUGGAUAUGUGUGCUGGGGAGAAACGGAAAAUAACAGUUCCACCGUCUCUGGCCUUUGGAGAGAAAGGAAAAGCACUUUAGUUGACAAAGGCCUCACACCUCUUGCAGUUUGCUACCCAUCCUCCCCUGGCAUGAACUGUGAGCAUGCUCAAAGGUUGAAAGAUCCAGUGCCUCCUAAUGCCUCGGUGAUCUUUGAGGUGGAGGUGUUCGCUGUGUCCAGAGGACCGCGAAGCAUGGAAGCUUUUGGAGAGAUGGACAGUAACAAAGACAGGAGUCUCACCAAAGAUGAGGUGAAACAGUACGUUAAAAUGCAGUAUGAACAAGAUGGGAAGAAACAUGAUGAACCUUUCUAUGAGAAGAUCAUGGCUGAUAUAUUCCAGAAGAACGACAAGGACAAAAACGGAUUCAUCAGUGCCAAGGAGUAUAAUAUUUUUCAGCAUGACGAGCUGUAGGGUUUGAUGCAGCGGGUAGCGAUAGUGUUUUUUAGAUUAUGUGCCUUUGAAAAAGAAGAGAAAAACAGGAAUAUAUACGGGGGGAAACCAUCAUCAUCAUGGAGGUUUUUUAUAUUUUCAGUCUGUUAAGGUUUUUUAUAUUUGAAUCAAACAUUUUAUUUAACCUGCUACAUCACUUCUGUAACAUUUUAAGGUUUCCUACCCCGAAUGCCUUCCUAAAAAAAUAUCUGGGUGUGUUCUGGCCUGUUGAUGUCCCUGCCAAAGGAAAAAAAGUGUAUUUGUCUUUCAUAUGAGUGAUUUGGACUCAUGGGAUUUUCCACUAUCAGUUUGAAGAUUGUAUUUUUUAGCCUGGCUCUAAAAUAUCCUAUUUUUUAAUACUAUGUGGACAAAUUAUUCUUAAAACGUAGCUGUGGAUUUCACAGGGAGACACCAAAUGUUCAUGUCGACCAGUUUGCCACUAUAAUGAUAUGUAACGCAAGGUCUAAGGGGGAUCCAGCCUGGUCUGUGGUUUAAAAGGUGCUGAAUUGUUUCACAGUAUUGGUAAAUGGUAUUUGGACUGCAUUUAUGUUGCACCUUCUCAAGUCUUCCGACCACACAAAGCACAAAGUGGAUUUUUCAUUAACAAGCAGACAAGAAAUAAAUGUGGUUUUUUUGAAAACUUAAAAACCCUGAAAACUCACCUCUCUGUUUAGUACAAUGUAGGUCAGACGAUCUCUGACCCCUGUGAAAACUUUGCCUUCUAUGAAAAUACCACUAAAUGUUAGCAUUUGAAAAGUGUUUUUCUUUUGGUUUACAUCAAUUCUAAAGUAGGAAACUGAGAACAACUUUGGAUACUUGCUCCUUCAGCCCUCUUAGCUUUUGUACAUGAGGCUACAGUUUAACAGCGAAGCUAAACCAGUGAACCAAAAGAAAAACCCAAAAUACUGCAGAAAUAUAGAUAAAUGGACCUUUAACUGUUGUCGGCCCUGUGAAUGUCCUGCCCUCUACCCUGCAGUUUUCACACUCGUGUUCACGUCCUCUGAUGGAGAUGUAUGUAUGGAAAAAGUGGGUCAGGACUGAUCUUUCCUGCCUCGUGUAAAGGUCCAGCAUAACGAAAACAAAAACAAAGACAAAGUGUCUGUGAUUGAGUUUGAACAAAACUUGGUUGUGAGUUUUUGUCAGACAUGUUUACACGUUCUGUUUACAUCUUUUUGUUGCAUCAUUAUUAAGUGAGGAUCGUUCUCUGUUAAUAAACCAUAUGAUGAGCAUCA